Molecule: long non-coding RNA, 694 nt
Organism: Numida meleagris (helmeted guineafowl)
Lineage: Eukaryota; Metazoa; Chordata; Aves; Galliformes; Numididae
Exons: 2
Source: RefSeq, a predicted model, not a curated record
ACAGCGCGCUGUGAGAUAAAUUUCCGGCGCCUGAGCUACUUGGCUGCUCGGGAGUCCCGGCUUUCUGGAUUUUAACGCGUUCCCCUUCCCCCCACUCUCAAAGGAGUGCGUGCGUCUCAGGCAGCUCCCAGUGCAGGCUGCCAACGUGACGGCAGGCAGCUCCCUGAGGAGGCUGUUCCUGCGGGUAAUUUCUUCGUGAGGGCUCCGUUUGAUGGCACCACGGGCUUUCGCCGUCCCUUGUUUUCCGGGAGGAAUCGGGCAGCCAGGGCUGCCAUUGCUGCUGGCAGUGGCUGCCCCAGGAGGUCAGCGGGAGCUCACCCUUUUCUUCAUGGCUUAGGUCAUUCUGCUGAGGAUGACCUAAUCCUGCUGCAGGUUCGAUAGACUUGUGAUGCUGGUGUAAAGACUUCUAAACUCAUGGCUGGCUACCAGGCUCACGCAUGUUCUGUUUCUUCACAUAUUUUAUAAUAAGCAUCGCUUGAGAAAAUGAAGACACAGCUCAGUGCUCGAAGUCAUUUCAGAAAAUGACAGAGUCUGCUCCUUUGGAAAGUCUUUAAUAAAAGCGGGGCUUAUUUGAGGACAAAUUAAAAAUAGCCUUGAAAGGUACUCUGGGAUUUAAUCUCCCAUGUGCUGUUGCAUCAUACGUGAUAAGGAAAUUCCUUCAGGCUCUAAAUAAACCUAUUAUCAUUUAAUCUCC